UUGAAGAGUUUGAUCAUGGCUCAGAUUGAACGCUGGCGGUAGCUUUUAUACAUGCAAGUCGAGCGGUAACAGACAUUUUGAUUCAGCUUGCUGAAUCUCGUGCUGACGAGCGGCGAACGGGUGAGUAACGCGUAGGAAUCUACCCAGUAGCGGGGGAUAGCCCGAGGAAACUCGGAUUAAUACCGCAUACGCCCUAAGGGGGAAAGGGGGCAGUUUACUGCUCUCACUAUUGGAUGAGCCUGCGUAAGAUUAGCUUGUUGGUGGGGUAAUGGCCUACCAAGGCAACGAUCUUUAGCUGGUCUGAGAGGACGAUCAGCCACAUUGGGACUGAGACACGGCCCAGACUCCUACGGGAGGCAGCAGUAAAGAAUAUUGGACAAUGGGGGAAACCCUGAUCCAGGCAUACCGCGUGUGUGAAGAAGGCCCUAGGGUUGUAAAGCACUUUAAGCAAUGAAGAAGAUAUUAAAGUUAAUACCUUUAAUAUUUGACGUUAAUUGCAGAAUAAGUACCGGCUAACUCCGUGCCAGCAGCCGCGGUAAUACGGAGGGUACAAGCGUUAAUCGGAAUUACUGGGCGUAAAGCGCGCGUAGGCGGUUUAGUAAGUUGUAUGUGAAAGCCCCGGGCUCAACCUGGGAACUGCAUACAAAACUACUAAACUAGAGUACGAGAGAGGAGAGUAGAAUUUGAAGUGUAGCGGUGAAAUGCGUAGAUAUUUCAAGGAAUACCAAUGGCGAAGGCAGCUCUCUGGCUCGACACUGACGCUGAGGUGCGAAAGCGUGGGUAGCAAACAGGAUUAGAUACCCUGGUAGUCCACGCCGUAAACGAUGAGGACUAGCCGUUGGGGGGAAUUAACCCUUCAGUGGCGCAGCUAACGCAUUAAGUUCUCCGCCUGGGGACUACGGCCGCAAGGCUAAAACUCAAAUGAAUUGACGGGGGCCCGCACAAGCGGUGGAGCAUGUGGUUUAAUUCGAUGCAACGCGAAGAACCUUACCUACCCUUGAAAUCCAGCGAAGUUUUCAGAGAUGAGAAUGUGCCUUCGGGAACGCUGUGACAGGUGUUGCAUGGCUGUCGUCAGCUCGUGUCGUGAGAUGUAUGGUUAAGUCCAGUAACGAGCGCAACCCCUAUCCUUAUUUGCCAGCGUGUAAUGGCGGGGACUAUAAGGAGACUGCCGGUCAUAAACCGGAGGAAGGCGGGGACGACGUCAAGUCAUCAUGGCCCUUAUGGGUAGGGCUACACACGUGCUACAAUGGGUGGUACAGAGGGUCGCCAAAGCGCGAGCUGGAGCCAAACCCUUAAAACCAUUCGUAGUCCGGAUUGGAGUCUGCAACUCGACUCCAUGAAGUCGGAAUCGCUAGUAAUCGCGAAUCAGAAUGUCGCGGUGAAUACGUUCUCGGGCCUUGUACACACCGCCCGUCACAUCAUGGAAGUGGGUUGCACCAGAAGUGGUUAGUCCAACCUUCGGGAAGACGAUCACCACGGUGUGAUUCAUGACUGGGAUGAAGUCGUAACAAGGUAGCCCUAGGGGAACCUGGGGCUGGAUCACCUCCUU
Molecule: ribosomal RNA, 1549 nt
Filed under: Gammaproteobacteria bacterium
Lineage: Bacteria; Pseudomonadati; Pseudomonadota; Gammaproteobacteria
Description: bacterial SSU rRNA
Rfam family: Bacterial small subunit ribosomal RNA
Source: RNAcentral